AGAAGGAGGUGAAAAUGGGGUGUGAUUCUUUUUCUCCCAAAGCAAUGCUGGGGACGGGGGAGUCAACUGAUUCUCCAGGAUGUGGAUGGCCACGAAGUGUCUCACCCCAAGAAUACAUCUUCAGUUGCACCGGGGAGAUUCAGGUGCAAGAAAUCCCAUUCUUUCUACAAAGAACAGGUGGAAAACCAGCCUGGUCCACAGGCAACAACCAAUGCCAUGGGACUGCUGUUACAAGGACAGGACAGGUCACUGCCAACUUGGUGUCACCGUUUGAUUUUUCAGGAAAGCGUAGUCUUUACCUGACAGCGGUGGUUGCCUCCAUCCACCCUCCCACCCCCAAAAC
RNAcentral lists this long non-coding RNA (343 nucleotides) under Gallus gallus (chicken). RNAcentral's name for it is "long non-coding RNA NONGGAT004746". Lineage: Eukaryota; Metazoa; Chordata; Aves; Galliformes; Phasianidae. The record is from RNAcentral.